RNAcentral lists this ribosomal RNA (254 nucleotides) under uncultured bacterium. Its description in RNAcentral is "partial 16S ribosomal RNA". It matches the Rfam family "Bacterial small subunit ribosomal RNA", at positions 524 to 776 of the family's 1533-position model. The record is from RNAcentral.
UACGUAGGGGGCGAGCGUUGUCCGGAUUUAUUGGGCGUAAAGAGCUCGUAGGCGGUUUGGCAAGUCGGGUGUGAAAACUCCGGGCUCAACCCGGAGACGCCACUCGAUACUGCUAUGACUUGAGUCCGGUAGGGGAGUGCGGAAUUCCUGGUGUAGCGGUGAAAUGCGCAGAUAUCAGGAGGAACACCGGUGGCGAAGGCGGCACUCUGGGCCGGUACUGACGCUGAGGCGCGACAGCGUGGGGAGCAAACAGG